This 499-nucleotide ribosomal RNA is filed under the name Phrynella pulchra (Malacca frog). RNAcentral describes it as "partial 16S ribosomal RNA". It matches the Rfam family "Bacterial large subunit ribosomal RNA", at positions 1951 to 2612 of the family's 2925-position model. Lineage: Eukaryota; Metazoa; Chordata; Amphibia; Anura; Microhylidae. The record is from RNAcentral.
GAAAGGUAGCGUAAUCACUUGUUCUGUGUAAAUAUAGGACUAGUAUGAACGGCACCACGAGGGUUAUACUGUCUCCCUCUUUUAAUCAGUGAAACUGACCUCCCCGUGAAGAGGCGGGGAUAAAACUAUAAGACGAGAAGACCCCAUGGAGCUUCAAACUCAGUACUAACUGCAUCAUCUAUACCAUCAUAAUCCAGCAGCCAUAGAGACUAGUUUUCGGUUGGGGUGACCGCGGAGCAAAACAAAACCUCCACGAUGAAUGAGACAAAUACUCUAAUCAAAGAGCUACAACUCAAAGAAUCAACAAAUUGACACACUUGAUCCAAUUAAUUUUGAUCAACGAACCUAGUUACCCUGGGGAUAACAGCGCAAUCCACUUCAAGAGCCCCUAUCGACAAGUGGGUUUACGACCUCGAUGUUGGAUCAGGGUAUCCCAGUGGUGCAACCGCUACUAAAGGUUCGUUUGUUCAACGAUUAAAACCUUACGUGAUCUGAGUUA